This 494-nucleotide ribosomal RNA is filed under the name uncultured bacterium. RNAcentral describes it as "partial 16S ribosomal RNA". It matches the Rfam family "Bacterial small subunit ribosomal RNA", at positions 28 to 507 of the family's 1533-position model. The record is from RNAcentral.
GACGAACGCUGGCGGCGUGCUUAACACAUGCAAGUCGAACGGUGAAGCGCCUUCCUUUUUGGUGGGUGUGGAUGAGUGGCGAACGGGUGAGUAACACGUGAGUAACCUGCCCCCUUCUUCUGGAUAACCGCAUGAAAGUGUGGCUAAUACGGGAUAUUCUGGGUCUGUCGCAUGAUGGGUCUGGGAAAGAUAUUGUUUCGGUGGGGGAUGGGCUCGCGGCCUAUCAGCUUGUUGGUGGGGUGAUGGCCUACCAAGGCGGUGACGGGUAGCCGGCCUGAGAGGGUGGACGGGCACACUGGGACUGAGACACGGCCCAGACGCGUACGGGAGGCAGCAGUGGGGAAUAUUGGACAAUGGGCGCAAGCAUGAUGCAGCGACGCCGCGUGAGUGAUGGAGGCCUUCGGGUUGUGAACCUCUUUCGCCAGUGAAGCAGGCCUGCCUCGUUUGUGGGUGGGUUGACGGUAGCUGGAUAAGAAGCGCCGGCUAACUACGUG